Molecule: small RNA, 170 nt
Organism: Clostridium sp. CAG:510
Lineage: Bacteria; Bacillati; Bacillota; Clostridia; Eubacteriales; Clostridiaceae
Rfam family: Clostridiales-1 RNA
Source: Rfam
AGACACCAGAGUAAUAAGCCGGGAAUUCAGGCUGUGCUUGCACAAGCCUGGAUUUUCGGCUUCAUUACCCGCCCCGGAAUGAGCAUAAAAGGGGAGCGUAAGCGCCCCGAUAUGCGAAUUGCGGGCAGGAUUGCGGGAGGGCAAAGCCCGGAGCAAUCCGCAUGGUGUCG